This 913-nucleotide ribosomal RNA is filed under the name Nemania sp. RNAcentral describes it as "eukaryotic LSU rRNA". It matches the Rfam family "Eukaryotic large subunit ribosomal RNA", at positions 31 to 964 of the family's 3401-position model. The record is from RNAcentral. Lineage: Eukaryota; Fungi; Ascomycota; Sordariomycetes; Xylariales; Xylariaceae.
AAGUUAAGCAUAUCAAUAAGCGGAGGAAAAGAAACCAACAGGGAUUGCCCUAGUAACGGCGAGUGAAGCGGCAACAGCUCAAAUUUGAAAUCUGGCCCCUAGGGUCCGAGUUGUACUUUGUAGAGGAUGCUUUUGGCGCGGCGCCUUCCGAGUUCCCUGGAACGGGACGCCUUAGAGGGUGAGAGCCCCGUACGGUUGGCGGCCAAGCCUCUGUAAAGCUCCUUCGACGAGUCGAGUAGUUUGGGAAUGCUGCUCUAAAUGGGAGGUAAAUUUCUUCUAAAGCUAAAUAUUGGCCAGAGACCGAUAGCGCACAAGUAGAGUGAUCGAAAGAUGAAAAGCACUUUGAAAAGAGGGUUAAACAGCACGUGAAAUUGUUGAAAGGGAAGCGUUUGCGACCAGACUUCUUCCUGGCGGAUCAUCCGGCUAUCUUGGCCGGUGCACUUCGCCAGGUCGAGGCCAGCAUCGGUUUCCCGCGGGGGGACAAAAGCUCUGGGAACGUAGCUCCUCCGGGAGUGUUAUAGCCCUCUGCACAAUGCCCCCGGGGGGACCGAGGACCGCGCUCUAAGCAAGGAUGCUGGCGUAAUGGUCGUCAACGACCCGUCUUGAAACACGGACCAAGGAGUCGAACAUUUGUGCGAGUGUUUGGGUGUUAAACCCUCACGCGUAAUGAAGGUGAACGUAGGUGAGAGCCUCCUCGCGGGGCGCAUCAUCGACCGAUCCUGAUGUCUUCGGAUGGAUUUGAGUAAGAGCAUAACUGUUCGGACCCGAAAGAUGGUGAACUAUGCGUGGAUAGGGUGAAGCCAGAGGAAACUCUGGUGGAGGCUCGCAGCGGUUCUGACGUGCAAAUCGAUCGUCAAAUCUGCGCAUGGGGGCGAAAGACUAAUCGAACCAUCUAGUAGCUGGUUACCGCCGA